Non-coding RNA from Triticum aestivum (bread wheat), 136 nucleotides. Lineage: Eukaryota; Viridiplantae; Streptophyta; Magnoliopsida; Poales; Poaceae. The record is from Rfam.
AUUCUACUCCCUCUGUUGCACAAUACAUGCCUUCUAUUUGUCAAAAUAUAUAUGUAUCUAGACAUGUUUUAGUAUAUAGGUACAUCAAUUUUCGGACAAAUGGAAGUCAAGUAUUUUGGAACGGAGGGAGUACACA